Molecule: long non-coding RNA, 807 nt
Filed under: Anas platyrhynchos (mallard)
Lineage: Eukaryota; Metazoa; Chordata; Aves; Anseriformes; Anatidae
Description: lncRNA (ENSAPLG00020015320.1)
Source: RNAcentral
UGGUAUUUGUAGGAGACUUUGGGGAUACUUGGGAUACUUUCUGAGGGAUUAAGGAAGGUAGAGGCUGCCUUUUUAUACAGUGUGGCUGUAAUUCAGACUUACAUAUUUUGCUUAAGGCUGAAAGUAAAAAAGUAGAGGCAGAGUUACUAAGGAAAAGCAAAGGAGGAAGAGCACUUGAUAACAAAAAUAAUUUUUGGGGAAUGAUAUAUGGAGCUUGUAAUUUAAAAAGCAUGAUUUGUGAAUGAGCCAUUUCAAGAGGGGAGGGGAAUCCAUUUCAAGGUGCAGGGGAAUGCAAAACAAACUAGAUCAUGCACUAUAAUACAUGCACUUCAAAUUCUGUUUUUCUAGAGUUGCUUUCUUCUGACUAAGUUCAAAAACUACAGUGUUUUUCCUGUGAAGACUUCAUUAUAUAUGACAAUGUAAUUCAUCAAAGAUUCCAGUGACUAGAAUGAAAAUGCAGACCAUCAGUGCAGAGCAAGUGCAUGAAGAUCUCUGAUGCACAGCAGAGCAAGUUUUGCAGAAGUCCUUAUGAAUGAUACAUCUCGUAUGGGAGAGAAAAGAAAAAAAGGAAAUGGCCUCCCCAAAUCAAAACAUCAAUAGUUUCAUCCUCUGAUCUGAAACAAUUUCUACAGGGACAAGGUCAGUGAAAUUACAUACUUUCUGUACUUCUCUCCAGCUGACAAUCUGCUGGUUAUAAUGCAAGAACACAAGGGCUCAAAUAGAUUUUUCUGACAUGGUGUGCCAUCUGGCACAAAACAGUCUUACAAACGCUGCUUCCCUGCUCUGCUUUUGCAGAUCUAGUGAUGG